AUAUUGGUGCGAGACCGAUAGCAUACAAGUACCGUGAGGGAAAGAUGAAAAGAACUUUGAAAAUAGAGUUAAAGAGUACCUGAAACUGCUGAAAGGUAACCAAAUCGUUUCCAGUGUCUAUAAUCCGUGGUAUAUUUCAUUGGCGAGCGUAUGCGUGCGUGUGCUGUUGCAGUGGCCUUUUUGGCUGCGCUCGGCGUGUGUGCUGUGUGUGCUUGCCGGUGCCCUGUGCUAUGGUGGGACGUCAAGGUCAGUUCGUAUGCUGCGGGAAAUGGCCACCGAGGAGGUAGGGCUUACGCUUGCGUUUGUCUGUUAUAUCUUGGUGGACGAGUAGUCGCGGUUGGGACUGAGGUGCCUACAACGUGCUUUUGAGUGGAUUUGGGUCUCCGUGUGCGCCGUGUGCGGAUAGCUUGCUAUGCGUGUGUGGCUGUGUAUGGAUUGAUGCGAGUCGUAACUUGUAGCCGUUCGGGACGUUGACGAAAUGGAGCGAUUUGACCCGUCUUGAAACACGGACCAAGGAGUCUAACAUAUGUGCAAGUGUUCGGGUGUCGAAACCCCAGCGCGUAAUGAAAGUAAAGGAUAGCGUAAGCUGUCUGAGGUAGGAAAUGCUGCGAACUUCGGUUUGCGGCGUGGCACUAUCGACCGAUCAUGAACCCUCGUGGUGAAAGAUUUGAGUUUGAGCACAUAUGUUGGUACCCGAAAGAUGGUGAACUAUGCCUGAGUAGGGUGAAGCCAGGGGAAACUCUGGUGGAAGCUCGUAGCGAUUCUGACGUGCAAAUCGAUCGUUGAACUUGGGUAUAGGGGCGAAAGACUAAUCGAACCAUCUAGUAGCUGGUUCCCUCCGAAAUUUCCCUCAGGAUAGCAGCAACUUAUUUACGAUAGUUUUAUGAGGUAAAGCGAAUGAUUAGAGGUUUCGGGGAAGAAACUUCCUCGACCUAUUCUC
Molecule: ribosomal RNA, 940 nt
Filed under: Plasmopara viticola
Lineage: Eukaryota; Oomycota; Peronosporomycetes; Peronosporales; Peronosporaceae
Description: eukaryotic LSU rRNA
Rfam family: Eukaryotic large subunit ribosomal RNA
Source: RNAcentral